UACCAGCACCCCGAGUGGCCGGGACGAUUAUUGGGCCUAAAGCCUCCGUAGCCGGCCUUACAAGUCCUCCGUUAAAUCCAGCUGCUUAACAGAUGGGCUGCGGAGGAUACUAUAAGACUAGGAGGCAGGAGAGGCAAGCGGUACUCAGUGGGUAGGGGUAAAAUCCGUUGAUCCAUUGAAGACCACCAGUGGCGAAGGCGGCUUGCCAGAAUGCGCUCGACGGUGAGGGAUGAAAGCUGGGGGAGCAAACCGG
This 253-nucleotide ribosomal RNA is filed under the name uncultured bacterium. Its description in RNAcentral is "partial 16S ribosomal RNA". It matches the Rfam family "Archaeal small subunit ribosomal RNA", at positions 474 to 727 of the family's 1478-position model. The record is from RNAcentral.